RNAcentral lists this ribosomal RNA (292 nucleotides) under uncultured bacterium. RNAcentral describes it as "partial 16S ribosomal RNA". It matches the Rfam family "Bacterial small subunit ribosomal RNA", at positions 505 to 796 of the family's 1533-position model. The record is from RNAcentral.
GUGCCAGCCGCCGCGGUAAGACAGAGGGUGCAAACGUUGUUCGGAAUUACUGGGCGUAAAGCGCGUGUAGGCGGCUACGUGUGUCGGGCGUGAAAUCCCAUGGCUCAACCAUGGAAGUGCACCCGAAACUGCGUAGCUAGAGUCCUGGAGAGGAAGGUGGAAUGCUUGGUGUAGAGGUGAAAUUCGUAGAUAUCAAGCGGAACACCGGUGGCGAAGGCGGCCUUCUGGACAGUGACUGACGCUGAGACGCGAAAGCGUGGGGAGCAAACAGGAUUAGAAACCCUUGUAGUCC